UGCUAUGGCGUCUGUGCAUCUGCCCCUCCCCGCUAUGAAGCAGGGAAAACGAACCCACUUGAAAGGUAGUGCGAAAAUCCGAGGCAUGGGCCUGAGUUCCAAGCUCUGGUGAAAUUCGCCUCUAAGGCUAAUGCUGCCGACCCUAUGAGUUGCUGACUAGGAGGAACGGUAGCAAAUUCGGCUGGGGAGGGAGCCUGAAGAGGCCAACGGCCCCAGGAGCCGUGGGGAGGGGCUGAAUGCUCCUCGCCACCGAGAAAAAACCGGAGGAAAGACACAAGGAGCUUUUUUGUUUUUUUGUUUUUAAACUUUAAACUUUAAACAGCAGGGGAAGACAAAACAUAUACUGAGGGCAAGAAACAGCAGAAACCAACAGGUAAGACUUAAAAGACAAACAAUACAAGCCUGAACCGACGGAGACAGAGAGGAAUCAACCAGAUUCGGUGAAGGCAAAAGAGAAAAAAAAAACUGCGGACGGAGCAGGCACAGACUGGGAACGGACCUACAGUAAAACGUCAGCAGUACUCUUUUGCCUUCAACCACUAGGUGGAGCUGGUUACCCCCACCUGAUAUCAUCUUUCCAUGCACAGGAGAAAGGUGAGAGGGGAGUAUCCUGUUCACUGUCUGCGUCUGGCUGCAGGGCCUCCGCUGUAUCUGGGGUGCUCUGCAGCUGAGGGAAAGAAGGAGCUGGAUUCUCAGGAGUCUCUUCCGUGUCUCCUUCUGGGUCUGCUGCUCCUGGGUCUGCUGCUGUUACUCCCGAGUCAUCCUCAUCGGAGGAGUCCUCUGAGGGGGCCAUGACAAGACUGGGCAUGUUUAGCCUUGAGAUGAGAAGACUGAGGGGAGAUAUGAGUACUGUUCAAGUGCUUGAAAGGGUGUCACACAGAGGAGGGCCAGGAUCUCUUCUUGAUCAUCCCAGAGUGCAGGACACAAAAUAAUGGGCUCAAGUUACAGGAAGCCAGUUUUCAGCUGAAUGUCAGAGGAAAAAGCCUAACUGUUAGAGCAGCAUGACAAUGGAACCAAUUACCAUUGUUGGACUCUCCAACACCGGAGGCCUUCAAGAGGCAACUGGACAGCUAUCUGCCGGGUAUGCUUUUAUUUGGAUUCCUGCAUUGAACAGGGAUUGGACUCGAUGGCCUCUCCCAACUCAAAUGUGAAACUGCACAUGCUCAGAGUAUUUUCUUUCUAUUUAUCAAGUUUGACAAAAUGUUUUUGUUUGUGUUUUGCUGAGAGUUGUGAAACUCCACAUGCUCAGGGUAUUAUUAUUUUUUGUAGUCCACAAAAGCUUGUGACAAUAACUUUGCAGAAGAUUUAUUUUAUUCCUGUUGGACUUCUGCUCUGUAGGUGUCAUGCCUUGCAGGACCAGGCCCCCAGGUACUCAGCCAGCUGUUGCUGAUAUGAUCCGCCUGUCCCUUCCCUGGAAGAGAUACAUAAACUGGCUGGCUAAGGUGGUUCCUGCUUUGCAAAUUGCCUGGUUUUUUGCGGGUCUUGAGUCAUGUCCCUGGGAGAGAGGACUCAAAGCCAAGUCAGGAGACUUGAGGGGGCCCCAAUUAGUGUAGUGAUAGAGAGAGGGAGAGGGAGAUAUGGCGUUGUGAGGAAGACUUGCAAGGUAAGGGGAACGUGGCCUAGACAGUUGCUGAGAUUAAAAGCAGCCAAAAGCUUAAACAGCCCCGCCCCUCGCUCAGGAAGGAAGCCUGAGAGAAUACUAAAGAGUUAAGCCCCAGCUGAUAGCCAUCAGCCUCAAGUAACACAUCAUUAGCUGGCAGCAGUAGCUGGGAGGAACCAGCCACACAUAUAAAGUCAGAGCACCCUAGCGAGGGAGCCUGCUCCACGAGCUAGAGGGAGCCCCAGCUGACGAAGCGUCAAGGCCCCAGCUGACGAAGCGUCAAGGCCCCAGCUGACGAAGCGUCAAGGCCCCAGCUGACGAAGCGUCAAGGCCCCAGCUGACGAAGCGUCAAGGCCCCAGCUGACGAAGCGUCAAGGCCCCAGCUGACGAAGCGUCAAGGCCCCAGCUGACGAAGCGUCAAGGCCCCAGCUGACGAAGCGUCAAGGCCCCAGCUGACGAAGCGUCAAGGCCCCAGCUGACGAAGCGUCAAGGCGAGUUAAGCAGCAGAGCGAAAAGAGGAACUCGUGGACACUCAAAGAAGCUGAAUGUUGGAAGAUUCAGGACAGACAAAAGGAAGUACUUCUUUACUCAGCGCAUAGUUAAACUAUGGAAUUUGCUCCCACAAGAUGCAGUAAUGGCCACCAGCUUGGAUGGCUUUAAAAGAAGAUUAGACAAAUUCAUGGAGGACAGGGCUAUCAAUGGCUACUAGCUGUGAUGGCUGUGCUCUGCCACCCUAGUCAGAGGCAGCAUGCUUCUGAAAACCAGUUGCCGGAAGCCUCAGGAGGGGAGAGUGUUCUUGCACUCGGGUCCUGCUUGCGGGCUUUCCCCAGGCACCUGGUUGGCCACUGUGAGAACAGGAUGCUGGACUAGAUGGGCCACUGGCCUGAUCCAGCAGGCUCUUCUUAUGUUCUUAUGUUCUUAUGUUCUUAUGUUGUUAAUGACUGUGCCUUGUUCCAGCCCUCCCCACACCGGCAGGUUUGUUAGUGUCCCUAUCAGCCAGCUCUCAGACCUCCGGAUGCUGCUCCUAAAUGCCAGAUCGGUGCAUAAUAUCUCCCUCAUUCAUGAUUUAAUUGUGGAUGAGGCAGCCAAUCUGGCAUGUAUAACCGAGACCUGGGUGGGUGUGCAGGGAGAAGUCCGUUUCUCCCAGCUAUGUCCGCCAGGGUACCUGGUUCAGCAUCAGGGUACACCUGAAGGUCGGGGACGGGGGUUGUUGUGGUCUAUAGGAGCUCCAUCACCCUCUGUAAGCACCCUGUCCAUGUGACUACUGGUCUGGAGUGUUUGCACCUUGUGUUGGGUCAGUGGGACAGACUGGGGAUUCUGUUAGUGUACUGCCCACCCCGCUGCCCAAAAGACUCCCUAGCUGAGCUAACGGAGGUGGUCUCAGGUGUACUGUUGAGAUCCCCCAGACUGUUGGUUCUGGGGGAUGUCAACAUCCAUGCCGAGGCCACCUUAUCUGGGGCAGCUCAGGAUUUCAUGGUCUCCAUGACAACCAUGGGACUGUUCCAAUAUGCCAUUAGCCCAACACAUUUAGCAGGGCAUACCCUAGACUUGGUUUUUGCAACUGGACAUGGUGAUGGUGAUCUGAAUGUGGGGGGGCCUUACAUCAGUCCCUCUGUCAUGGAUAGAUUACUGCUUGCUGAAGUUUAGACUUACAGUGGCUCUUCCACUCUGCAAGGGUGGGGGACCUAUUAAGUUGGUCCACCCCCAGAGACUAAUGGAUCCGGAUGGUUUCCAAAGGACUCUGGGGAGUUUUCCAGCUGAUAGGGCUGGCACUCCUGUCGAAACUCUGGUUGAACUGUGGAAUACAGAAAUGACCCGGGCAGUUGACAUGAUUGCUCUUGAGCGCCCUCUCCUAUGUAGAGCUCGUACGGCUCCAUGGUAUACCCCAGAGCUGAGAGCGAUGAAACAAUAUAGGAGACGGCUUGAGUGCAGAUGGAGAUGAACUCCUGGUGGAUGCAAUUACACACUGGUAAGUGCCUAUGGUAAGCUGUAUUUAGGGGCAGUGAGGGCAGCAAAAAAACAAUAUUUUGCUGCCACUAUCAAAUCAUCAAUCUGCCGCCUGGCAGAGCUCUUCAGAGUUGUCUGGGGGCUAUUACACACUGGCCCCAAGGACAUGCUAGAACCAUCUGAGACCCACUGUAAUGAAUUCUCUAGGCACUUCCAGGAUAAAAUCUUUAGCUUCUGCCAGGACUUGGACUCCAGUGUUAUAGCAGGUGAAUCAAGCGGGGUAUCCAGAGCACAGCCUUGUCCUGAUUUCUUGGAUGAGUUUCAGUUGGUACAGCUUGAGGACAUUGACAAGGUGCCUGGACAGGUUCGUGCAACCACUUCUGUGCUGGAUUCUUGCCCUUCUUGGCUAAUUAAAGCUAGCAGGGAUGGAAAAGCCGGCUGGGCCAGGGAAGUGAUUAAUGCUUCUCUGCGAGAGGGGGUGGUCCCUGGCUGCCUGAAAGGGGCGGUAGUGAGACUACUCCUGAAGAGACCCUCCCUGGACCCAGAAAAUAUUAAUAACUAUAGGCCGGUGGCAAAUGUUCCAUUCUGGGGCAAGGUCCUUGAACGAGUGGUUGCGGGCCAGCUCCAGACAAUCUUGGAUGAGACCGAUUAUCUGGAUCCGUUUCAGGCCUGGUUUUGGCAUGGAAACAGCCUUGGUCACCCUGUAUGAUGACCUCUGUUGGGAGAGAGACAGGGGGAGUGUGACUCUGUUGAUUCUCCUUGAUCUCUCAGUGGCUUUUGAUACCAUCGACCAUGGUAUCUUUCUGGGAAGACUGGCUGAGUUGGGAGUGGGAGGGACUGCAUGGCGGUGGUUCCGCUCCUACUUGGCAGGUCGGCUCCAGAAGGUGGUGCUUGGGGAACAUUGCUCGGCACCCUGGACUCUCCAGUAUAGGGUUCAGUAGGGGUCAGUUCUGUCCCCCAUGCUGUUCAACAUCUACAUGAAACCGUUGGGUGCGUUCAUCCAGAGCUUUGGAGUGCGUUGCCAUCAGUAUGCUGAUGACACACAGCUCUAUUUCUCCUUUUCAUCUUCUUCAGAUGAGGCUGUCAAUGUGCUGAACCGGUGCCUGGCUGCGACAAUGGACUGGAUGGGGCUAAUAAACUGAGGCUCAAUCCAGACAAGACUGAGAUGCUGUUAGUGGGUGGUUCUUCUGACCGGAUGGUGGAUGUCCAACCUGUCCUGGAUGGGGUUGCACUCCCCCUGAAGGAGCAGGUUCAUAGCCUGAGGGUUCUCCUAGAACCAUCUCUGUCCCUUGAGGCGCAGGAAGCCUCGGUGGCACGGAGUGCCUUCUACCUACUUCGAUUGGUGGCCCUAUCUGGACAGGGAUAACGUGGCUUCAGUUGUCCAUGCUCUGGUAACCUCCAAGUUAGAUUACUGCAAUGCGCUCUAUGUGGGGCUGCCUUUGAAGACGGUUUGGAAACUGCAGCUUGUGCAAAAUGCAGUGGCCAGAUUGGUAACAGGGACCAAUAUAUAUAUAUGCUUGAACAUAUAAAACCGAUUCUGGCCCGCUUGCAUUGGCUGCCUGUAUGUUUCCAAGCUUGAUUCAAGGUGCUGGUUUUAACCUAUAAAGUCAUACACGGCUUAGGACCACAAUACCUGAUGGACCACCUCGCCCAACACGAACCCACCUGUACACUACGCUCAACAUCCAAGGCCCUCCUCCGGGUGCCUCCUCCGAGGGAAGCUGGGAGUCUGGCAACAAUGGAGAGGGCCUUCUCAGUGGUGGCCCCCAAAUUAUGGAAUGAUUUUAUUGGUGAGGUUUGCCUGGCGCCAUCACUAUUACUUUUCGGCGCCAGGUCAAGACUUUCCUCUUCUCCCAGGCAUUUUAGCAUGUGUUUUUAAAUUGGUUUUUUAAAAAAUGUGUUUUUAAAUUUGUAUAUUUGUUUUUAAUGUUUUUAAUUGUUGUAAACAGCCGAGAGAGCUUCGGCUAUGGGGUGGUAUACAAAUGCAAUAAAUAAAUAAAUAAAUUUUGUGUUACCUUAUUUGAUGCUCCUUUCUCAGAGAAGGGGGCGCUAUUUUGGAAACUGCACCAGGGACCUCAACUACUCCCCUCUUGCCUCGAUUGUUGAAUUACGAAGAAUGGUAAAUUUGAUGAAGUGGACUCUAGCCCAAGAAAGCUUAUGCCACAAUACAUUUUUAAGUCUCUAAGGUGCAGUGGCGUCACUAGGGUUGGUGUCACCCAGUGCGGUAACUCAUGAUGUCACCCCCAUGGACCUCCUCCCAUACCAGACCAUACAGAAUCCUUAGUAAUGUUUUUUGCACUAAUGUUACUCGUAAAUCGUAAUUCCCGUGUAUCACUGAAUGUAAUGGCAAUAGUAGUGACAUAAACAACUAGCAAAAUUAAAAUUACACCUUUAAAUUACAAUAUCACACACACAGCCCAAAUUCUUGCUCUUAUCACUAAUGGGAGUUAAUUAUCUUGCAUAUGCCCAUAGUAAAUUUUCAGAUACUUUCAGACCCUCAGCAAUUUUCAAGUGGUCUAUGUAGAAGAAAAGUUUGGGAACCCCUGGUAUAAGACAUCUGCUUAUGUCCCUAUGCUGCUCUCACCCCUCAUUUAGGUGCCUGGGAUGUUUGCAUGUGGACAUACCUCCUUACAGUUGUGGAAAGUGAUUCUUAAUAAGAAGUCUCCAGACACAAAGUUACAUAGGUAUUUAUCAGUUGUUUAGUAGAAAAUUCAGAAGUGCAGAGUCCCUUCAUGAUAGUUGCAGCCACAUACACCCUUUUUUACUCCUGGAUUAAGAGUGAGAUCUUUGUUAAUGCUUUCUCUCACAACAACAAACAUCUCUAGGAGCCAAUCAGCAUGUAAGUGGAGAGCGUUAGCAAUUGAGAAGAGUCUUCUCAGUGGCUGACUCACCUUCUUUCACUCUGAUUGGCUCCAAUCAGCAGGAAAGGCAAGGAAGCCUAUUAGAAGACUCUUCUCAGUGACUAACACACUCCCUUUUCAUGCUGACUGUAAGAUGCUUGGAGACAUAGGGACCCUGCUCCCAAAACAGCAGAGCGACUAAGAUCCCCUGGGCGACUACCCUCCUGGUGCUUAUGGACAUGACCGUAAUAUAUUUUGUGAUGUGCAAGUUCGAUAUUAUUUAUUAAGUGUGUUUAGGAUUACACUGAUGGCAUUCCCAAAUAUGUACUUUCACACAGACUUUGGUUUUCCAUAACACAAUGUUUGUCCAAGCCUCCACACUUGGGGGGGCACUACUUGCACACCCCUUCCAUAAGCACAUCAAAGUUGGAUACACACCUGAACAAAGACCCAGACAAAAGGGCACUCAAAACAAAAAGAUAAUUACAGUGGCUGAGUAGAUCUUGUACAGUGGUUAUACUGACUGGGCAGCCACUGUCCUUCACAUUUUAUAAAAUACUUUUUCCUAUACAAAGAUUAAAUUUCUGUGUAUGAAAAAGUAACAUAUGAAGUGGUCUCAAUAGUGAGAAAAGUAAACAAAUGAAUGGUGAUCCAAAUGUUUUUCAUUCUCACGUUAUGAAGCUAGCUGCCAGAUGAUGUAUCACCUUCGCUACGCACGUAGCGUAGACUGAAAAAACAGCACCCAAGCCACCAUUCAAUAUGUGCACGUGUUCUUUCCAACAUGAAUCUACAGGUCUCAAAAAGUAAUGUGUGACAAAGUCCUCAAACACCUUAUAACAUGCCUCAGACAUGGUCUCUUGUUCUACCAGCAUGCCUUCACACCGUCACUUUGCCAAAACAUAAGGAUAGCUAAAUUGCUUUUAGGGAGGUUCACAA
Rhineura floridana is the source of this 7323-nucleotide long non-coding RNA. RefSeq lists it as uncharacterized. Lineage: Eukaryota; Metazoa; Chordata; Lepidosauria; Squamata; Rhineuridae. The transcript is spliced from 3 exons. The record is from RefSeq and is a predicted model, not a curated record.